RNAcentral lists this ribosomal RNA (440 nucleotides) under uncultured bacterium. RNAcentral's name for it is "partial 16S ribosomal RNA". It matches the Rfam family "Bacterial small subunit ribosomal RNA", at positions 338 to 795 of the family's 1533-position model. The record is from RNAcentral.
CCUACGGGGCGCAGCAGUGGGGAAUAUUGCACAAUGGGGGAAACCCUGAUGCAGCGACGCCGCGUGAGUGAAGAAGUAUUUCGGUACGUAAAGCUCUAUCAGCAGGGAAGAAAAUGACGGUACCUGACUAAGAAGCCCCGGCUAACUACGUGCCAGCAGCCGCGGUAAUACGUAGGGGGCAAGCGUUAUCCGGAUUUACUGGGUGUAAAGGGAGCGUAGACGGCAGUGCAAGUCUGGAGUGAAAUCCCAUGGCUUAACCAUGGAACUGCUUUGGAAACUGGGCAGCUAGAGUGCAGGAGAGGUAAGCGGAAGUCCUAGUGUAGCGGUGAAAUGCGUAGAUAUUAGGAGGAACACCAGUGGCGAAGGCGGCUUACUGGACUGUAACUGACGUUGAGGCUCGAAAGCGUGGGGAGCAAACAGGAUUAGAUACCCUAGUAGUC